GUGUAUGUGUGUGUGCAUUUAAAUAUUAAGUUCACUGUGAAAAUAGCAGCGCUUAAAGAGUUACUUUUGAAUUCCAUGUUUCUAUGGAAAAUACGCC
Molecule: long non-coding RNA, 97 nt
Organism: Aricia agestis (brown argus)
Lineage: Eukaryota; Metazoa; Arthropoda; Insecta; Lepidoptera; Lycaenidae
Exons: 4
Source: RefSeq, a predicted model, not a curated record